Molecule: non-coding RNA, 31 nt
Filed under: Homo sapiens (human)
Lineage: Eukaryota; Metazoa; Chordata; Mammalia; Primates; Hominidae
Source: RNAcentral
UCAACGAUUUGCCACUCUGCUUCAACAGCAU